Molecule: ribosomal RNA, 772 nt
Filed under: uncultured bacterium
Lineage: Bacteria
Description: bacterial SSU rRNA
Rfam family: Bacterial small subunit ribosomal RNA
Source: RNAcentral
AGAGUUUGAUCAUGGCUCAGAUUGAACGCUGGCGGCAGGCCUAACACAUGCAAGUCGAGCGGAUGACAGGAGCUUGCUCCUGGAUUCAGCGGCGGACGGGUGAGUAAUGCCUAGGAAUCUGCCUGGUAGUGGGGGACAACGUUUCGAAAGGAACGCUAAUACCGCAUACGUCCUACGGGAGAAAGCAGGGGACCUUCGGGCCUUGCGCUAUCAGAUGAGCCUAGGUCGGAUUAGCUUGUUGGUGAGGUAAUGGCUCACCAAGGCGACGAUCCGUAACUGGUCUGAGAGGAUGAUCAGUCACACUGGAACUGAGACACGGUCCAGACUCCUACGGGAGGCAGCAGUGGGGAAUAUUGGACAAUGGGCGAAAGCCUGAUCCAGCCAUGCCGCGUGUGUGAAGAAGGUCUUCGGAUUGUAAAGCACUUUAAGUUGGGAGGAAGGGUUGUAGAUUAAUACUCUGCAAUUUUGACGUUACCGACAGGAUAAGCACCGGCUAACUCUGUGCCAGCAGCCGCGGUAAUACAGAGGGUGCAAGCGUUAAUCGGAAUUACUGGGCGUAAAGCGCGCGUAGGUGGUUUGUUAAGUUGGAUGUGAAAGCCCCGGGCUCAACCCGGGAACUGCAUCCAAAACUGGCAAGCUAGAGUACGGUAGAGGGUGGUGGAAUUUCCUGUGUAGCGGUGAAAUGCGUAGAUAUAGGAAGGAACACCAGUGGCGAAGGCGACCACCUGGACUGAUACUGACACUGAGGUGCGAAAGCGUGGGGAGCAAACAG